RNAcentral lists this ribosomal RNA (477 nucleotides) under Fusarium oxysporum. Its description in RNAcentral is "eukaryotic LSU rRNA". The stretch from base 122 to 275 matches the Rfam family "5.8S ribosomal RNA". The record is from RNAcentral. Lineage: Eukaryota; Fungi; Ascomycota; Sordariomycetes; Hypocreales; Nectriaceae. RNAcentral also lists the same sequence under 1 other name.
UGACAUACCACUUGUUGCCUCGGCGGAUCAGCCCGCUCCCGGUAAAACGGGACGGCCCGCCAGAGGACCCCUAAACUCUGUUUCUAUAUGUAACUUCUGAGUAAAACCAUAAAUAAAUCAAAACUUUCAACAACGGAUCUCUUGGUUCUGGCAUCGAUGAAGAACGCAGCAAAAUGCGAUAAGUAAUGUGAAUUGCAGAAUUCAGUGAAUCAUCGAAUCUUUGAACGCACAUUGCGCCCGCCAGUAUUCUGGCGGGCAUGCCUGUUCGAGCGUCAUUUCAACCCUCAAGCACAGCUUGGUGUUGGGACUCGCGUUAAUUCGCGUUCCUCAAAUUGAUUGGCGGUCACGUCGAGCUUCCAUAGCGUAGUAGUAAAACCCUCGUUACUGGUAAUCGUCGCGGCCACGCCGUUAAACCCCAACUUCUGAAUGUUGACCUCGGAUCAGGUAGGAAUACCCGCUGAACUUAAGCAUAUCAAU